This 672-nucleotide ribosomal RNA is filed under the name uncultured Staphylococcus sp. RNAcentral's name for it is "bacterial SSU rRNA". It matches the Rfam family "Bacterial small subunit ribosomal RNA", at positions 69 to 724 of the family's 1533-position model. The record is from RNAcentral. Lineage: Bacteria; Bacillati; Bacillota; Bacilli; Caryophanales; Staphylococcaceae.
ACGGACGAGAAGCUUGCUUCUCUGAUGUUAGCGGCGGACGGGUGAGUAACACGUGGAUAACCUACCUAUAAGACUGGGAUAACUUCGGGAAACCGGAGCUAAUACCGGAUAAUAUUUUGAACCGCAUGGUUCAAAAGUGAAAGACGGUCUUGCUGUCACUUAUAGAUGGAUCCGCGCUGCAUUAGCUGGUUGGUAAGGUAACGGCUUACCAAGGCAACGAUGCAUAGCCGACCUGAGAGGGUGAUCGGCCACACUGGAACUGAGACACGGUCCAGACUCCUACGGGAGGCAGCAGUAGGGAAUCUUCCGCAAUGGGCGAAAGCCUGACGGAGCAACGCCGCGUGAGUGAUGAAGGUCUUCGGAUCGUAAAACUCUGUUAUUAGGGAAGAACAUAUGUGUAAGUAACUGUGCACAUCUUGACGGUACCUAAUCAGAAAGCCACGGCUAACUACGUGCCAGCAGCCGCGGUAAUACGUAGGUGGCAAGCGUUAUCCGGAAUUAUUGGGCGUAAAGCGCGCGUAGGCGGUUUUUUAAGUCUGAUGUGAAAGCCCACGGCUCAACCGUGGAGGGUCAUUGGAAACUGGAAAACUUGAGUGCAGAAGAGGAAAGUGGAAUUCCAUGUGUAGCGGUGAAAUGCGCAGAGAUAUGGAGGAACACCAGUGGCGAAGGCGA